CCUACGGGAGGCUGCAGUGAGGAAUAUUGGUCAAUGGGCGUAAGCCUGAACCAGCCAAGUCGCGUGAGGGAUGAAGGUUCUAUGGAUCGUAAACCUCUUUUAUAAGGGAAUAAAGUGCGGGACGUGUCCCGUUUUGUAUGUACCUUAUGAAUAAGGAUCGGCUAACUCCGUGCCAGCAGCCGCGGUAAUACGGAAGGCCCGAGCGUUAUCCGGAUUCAUUGGGCUUAAAGGGAGCGUAGGCGGGCGUUCAAGUCAGCUGUAAAAUCGCGCGGCUCAACCGCGCCCCGCAGUUGAAACUGGACGCCUUGAGUUCACAACAGGCAGGCGGAAUUCGUGGUGUAGCGGUGAAAUGCAUAGAUAUCACGAGGAACCCCGAUUGCGAAGGCAGCCUGCCGGGGUGCGACUGACGCUGAGGCUCGAAGGUGCGGGUAUCAAACAGGAUUAGAUACCCUAGUAGUC
Molecule: ribosomal RNA, 459 nt
Filed under: uncultured bacterium
Lineage: Bacteria
Description: partial 16S ribosomal RNA
Rfam family: Bacterial small subunit ribosomal RNA
Source: RNAcentral